RNAcentral lists this ribosomal RNA (433 nucleotides) under uncultured bacterium. Its description in RNAcentral is "partial 16S ribosomal RNA". It matches the Rfam family "Bacterial small subunit ribosomal RNA", at positions 29 to 507 of the family's 1533-position model. The record is from RNAcentral.
AACGAACGCUGGCGGCAUGCCUAACACAUGCAAGUCGAACGAGACCUUCGGGUCUAGUGGCGCACGGGUGCGUAACGCGUGGGAACCUGCCCUUAGGUUCGGAAUAACUCCCCGAAAGGGGUGCUAAUACCGGAUAAUGUCUUCGGACCAAAGAUUUAUCGCCUUUGGAUGGGCCCGCGUUGGAUUAGCUAGUUGGUAGGGUAAAAGCCUACCAAGGCGACGAUCCAUAGCUGGUCUGAGAGGAUGAUCAGCCACACUGGGACUGAGACACGGCCCAGACUCCUACGGGAGGCAGCAGUGGGGAAUAUUGGACAAUGGGCGAAAGCCUGACCCAGCAAUGCCGCGUGAGUGAUGAAGGCCUUAGGGUUGUAAAGCUCUUUUACCCGGGAUGAUGAUGACAGUACCGGGAGAAUAAGCUCCGGCUAACUCCGUG